CCUACGGGAGGCUGCAGUGAGGAAUAUUGGUCAAUGGGCUUACGCCUGAACCAGCCAAGUCGCGUGAGGGAAGACUGCCCUAUGGGUUGUAAACCUCUUUUGUCAGGGAGUAACGCCGGCUACGUGUAGCCGGACUGAGAGUAUCUGAAGAAAAAGCAUCGGCUAACUCCGUGCCAGCAGCCGCGGUAAUACGGAGGAUGCGAGCGUUAUCAGGUUGUAUUGGGUUUAAAGGGUGCGUAGUCGGCAUGCCAAGUCAGCGGUAAAAUCGCGGGGCUCAACCUCGCUCCGCCGUUGAUACUGGCGGUCUUGAGUAGGCGAGAGGUAUGCGGAAUGCGUGGUGUAGCGGUGAAAUGCAUAGAUAUCACGCAGAACUCCGAUUGCGAAGGCAGCAUACCGGCGCCCAACUGACGCUGAAGCACGAAAGCGUGGGUAUCGAACAGGAUUAGAUACCCGUGUAGUC
Molecule: ribosomal RNA, 460 nt
Filed under: uncultured bacterium
Lineage: Bacteria
Description: partial 16S ribosomal RNA
Rfam family: Bacterial small subunit ribosomal RNA
Source: RNAcentral